This 253-nucleotide ribosomal RNA is filed under the name uncultured bacterium. RNAcentral describes it as "partial 16S ribosomal RNA". It matches the Rfam family "Bacterial small subunit ribosomal RNA", at positions 524 to 776 of the family's 1533-position model. The record is from RNAcentral.
UACGUAGGUGGCAAGCGUUGUCCGGAUUUAUUGGGCUUAAAGGGUGCGUAGGCGGUUCCUUAAGUCAGUGGUGAAAUACUUCAGCUCAACUGGAGAGGUGCCAUUGAUACUGGGGAACUUGAGUACUGAUGAGGUAGGCGGAAUGGACGGUGUAGCGGUGAAAUGCUUAGAUAUCGUCCAGAACACCGAUAGCGAAGGCAGCUUACUAAAGAGUAACUGACGCUGAGGCACGAAAGCGUGGGGAGCAAACAGG